This 1000-nucleotide ribosomal RNA is filed under the name Klebsiella pneumoniae subsp. pneumoniae. Its description in RNAcentral is "bacterial SSU rRNA". It matches the Rfam family "Bacterial small subunit ribosomal RNA", at positions 478 to 1476 of the family's 1533-position model. Lineage: Bacteria; Pseudomonadati; Pseudomonadota; Gammaproteobacteria; Enterobacterales; Enterobacteriaceae. The record is from RNAcentral.
ACCGCAGAAGAAGCACCGGCUAACUCCUUCCAGCAGCCGCGGUAUUCGGAGGGUGCAAAGCCGUUAAUCGGAAUUACUGGGCGUAAAGCGCACGCAGGGCGGUCUGUCAAGUCGGAUGUGAAAUCCCCGGGCUCAACCUGGGAACUGCAUUCGAAACUGGCAGGCUAGAGUCUUGUAGAGGGGGGUAGAAUUCCAGGUGUAGCGGUGAAAUGCGUAGAGAUCUGGAGGAAUACCGGUGGCGAAGGCGGCCCCCUGGACAAAGACUGACGCUCAGGUGCGAAAAGCGUGGGGAGCAAACAGGAUUAGAUACCCUGGUAGUCCACGCCGUAAACGAUGUCGAUUUGGAGGUUGUGCCCUUGAGGCGUGGCUUCCGGAGCUAACGCGUUAAAUCGACCGCCUGGGGAGUACGGCCGCAAGGUUAAAACUCAAAUGAAUUGACGGGGGCCCGCACAAGCGGUGGAGCAUGUGGUUUAAUUCGAUGCAACGCGAAGAACCUUACCUGGUCUUGACAUCCACAGAACUUUCCAGAGAUGGAUUGGUGCCUUCGGGAACUGUGAGACAGGUGCUGCAUGGCUGUCGUCAGCUCGUGUUGUGAAAUGUUGGGUUAAGUCCCGCAACGAGCGCAACCCUUAUCCUUUGUUGCCAGCGGUUAGGCCGGGAACUCAAAGGAGACUGCCAGUGAUAAACUGGAGGAAGGUGGGGAUGACGUCAAGUCAUCAUGGCCCUUACGACCAGGGCUACACACGUGCUACAAUGGCAUAUACAAAGAGAAGCGACCUCGCGAGAGCAAGCGGACCUCAUAAAGUAUGUCGUAGUCCGGAUUGGAGUCUGCAACUCGACUCCAUGAAGUCGGAAUCGCUAGUAAUCGUAGAUCAGAAUGCUACGGUGAAUACGUUCCCGGGCCUUGUACACACCGCCCGUCACACCAUGGGAGUGGGUUGCAAAAGAAGUAGGUAGCUUAACCUUCGGGAGGGCGCUUACCACUUUGAAUCCUGGGUCG